AAACAAGAUGUAUCUAAUAUAUCCGGUUGUUAGCUCCAAGUCAGAAGUAUCUCCAAGUUAAUGUUUUUGCUGUAGCAGUUGCUAUACAUAUCUUCCUAUAUCCCAAUUGUGAAAACAUUUGCUGAAGUGGUUGCAGAUAAGACAGAGGAAUCCCUUGAUGGUGAUAACUACCAAAGGAUGAUAAGUAUGAUAGAUGGAACAACCGCGCAACCGGUUGUUCCCCAACAAACUGAUGUUGAUAUCACAUAUGUUCAUGGGCCUUCCAAUUUGAUCUCAGGUGAGUAUUAAACAUAAUUAAGAAUUGACGUUGUACGGUUAGCAGUAAACUAACACAUUAUGUCCACUACCGGUUAUUUUUGCAUGAAGCAGUCAACCCGGCAACCUCAUUAGGGGGUAAUGACGCUGCGUUUGUCCCUCUCAGUUGUCUCACACGCGAUUCUGGAGCCGACAUAUCACAAAGUAGUAAUGGUGUUACCGGUUUCGUAUUUAGUUGUACAGUGUUUAAGGAGGUUUUCUUGUAGAUGUUCAUGACCCAUAUUGUAUUUGUGUUGUUCCAGAGGCUCUAGAUGUGAAUCCUAUAGAUGGCAGAAGACACUCGUUAAUGUGUGAAAAUGCUCAAGCUUUACCGGUACCCGAUGCAACAUCCAAGCAGAUCACUACAGGAUCUGUCGUUAAUGUGUGCAAACUAACUAAGAAAGGGGUCAUGUCUGACGAAAAAAAGGAACAGAUGAACGCCAAGAGGCGAGCUGCUUAUCACAAGAAAAAAGAAGAGGAAGCACAGAAACUCUUGCAUGAAUAUCAACCUGCCCUUACAAUGUCUGGUAAGAUUGUUUGAUUUAUAAUCAAUCCAAUGAACAAUUAGAUUCAAUUUGCAUCCCUGCGUUUAGUACUAACAUAUCUUGCUACCACAUUUACUAGAUGACAAGAGGGAGCGGAUAAACGCGCGGAGACGGGCAUCGUAUCGUAAGGGCAAACUGGAUGCUGAUGAAAACAAGGAGCCUUUAAAAGCUCCGAUGCGAGGUGGUUAUCGAAAGAAAAAUGUAGAAGCCGCCAACAAGAAUCUCCAUGAUAAUAUGUCUGCCCUUGACAUAUCGGGUACGAUUAUUCUAUAGUUCAGCACUACAGCUAAUGGAGAUACUCCUUUUGUUGCCAACUAUAUGAUUGUUAUCGGAAGAUCGGAAGAUAAAUGAGUACAUCACCUGAGAUCGUCAUGCAGGUACCCAAAGUGUUCCACAGAUCGCUCUAGGUGAUAUAACUAAUGUGGAACAAACAUCGUCGAUAAACCUUGACGAUAGAAAUAUGAUUAUAAAGUCAACAACUCGAGCUGUGGAUAAUCACCAAGAUGAAAAUCUUCCCGCCCUUAUGAUAUCAGGUUAUGAUGCUUUAUUUUUCAUCUGCAUUUUAUAGUACAUAUUCAUAAUGUUUGCCAUUAAGGGCGGUUAAUGUAUUUUCAUGCAAGUCAAACGUUUGAACUUCAAUGUUUUAACGUUCACUCAUUUCAGAUUCAACUAAGCAUUGCAUAUAUACAUUAGAUAAUUCAUUGGUGCCUUGGGUACCAAUUACCAAUUAAUUCAGUACUGAUUAUGUUUGUAUCAACAUGUAUAACCAGCCGACCCAACUAGGUCCAUCCACACAUCAUUUACACAAAGUGAUGCGUUAUUGCCUCAUUCAACUACAAUCACUUCUGAUGACAUUCAUGAUUACCACCUAGCUAUGAGGCAGCGUGUUAAGGAACGCAAUGUAACUUAACUCUAGAUCAAGUGGAGCAAUCAAACGCGAGGAGGCGAGCAACAUAUCGAAAACAAGUGGAUGAGGGAUCAAAAGAUCUUGAAGGAAAAAAUGAUAAGCUGCGAGAAUGGAGGUCAUGCAGCAAAGAGAAGGGGCAGUUGAGUGCAAAGAGAAAGGCAACUUAUGCUUCAAAAAAAACACCCCGUGCAAGGAAUCCCUCGCACUCCCACGUCCAUACCUAGCAAACUCAACAUCUAUAUGUCCAUCAUCCACCUGCCGUGCAAUAUCCCUCUCUCUGUCCGCCGAAGAUGAUUCAUCUGAUGACGACCCUACGAGGGUCAUGCCGAAUCACAUUGUUACUAAUGGUAUGAAAAUGCUAUGGUUACAUUGUUAUGAUCAUUCUCAGCAACCCUCUUCUGACAUGAUAUCGUCUAUUGACACAUUCGCCAUGACGAUAAUGCAGACGACACUGAUGUUUUUCGAGAUCGCAUCAUGGGCGAUGAGCCAAUGCCAUUCAACUUGAUGGAUGAGGAGUACUACAUGUUUCAUGACCAAGGUAUGGUCAACUAAGAACUAUGAAGUUGUGGAGCUUUUUUUAAUUAUCCUUUUUAGGAAAUGCUUUUGUGAACAUCAUGUUUGAACAAAUGCACGUAGGAUCCGAUAAUGAAACCAUGGAGGAGGACGAGGAAGCGAGCAUUUCGUCUGCUAUACCUAGCAAGGUUGAUCCAUUAGACUUUUUCUACACAAACAUACCAGACACCACUCACAUCCUCAAGCUCACCGCAAACUACAAACACUGCAAUGCCAAAAAGUUUGAGUCUGAGACCGACGGGUUUUGCUGUCGUAAUUCCCAGAUCGAACUUACGCAACCGGAACCAAUCCCAGAGCUGAUGAGGCUAUGGUCCAGCAUGGAUGCAGAUUCUAGACAUUUUCGUGAAAACAUACGGUUCUUCAACGGGCAUUUCGCAUUCACAACCCUUGGCAUCAGCCUUGAUGAGAACUACACAAACAUGAAGUCUGGGGUGUACGCAUUCAGGGCACACGGCACCAUCUACCACAAUGUGCAUUCGUUCGGGCCUAGCUCAUGUCUAGAACAUCUGCAGUUGUACUUCUAUGAUGACGACCCAACCAUAAGUCAUCGUAAGGCAGCCACCAAGCAAUUAGACCAGGAUGUCGUGAAGAAGUUAGUACACAUACUCAAAGAAAACCCGUACUCCCAGCAAUUUAGGAGUUUGGGUGCAUACAAGGACAACCUCGACGAUUAUAGGAUAGACCUAAACACGGAUAAGAGGCUUGACCAAAGAAGAUAUAAUAGACCGUUGUCAUCUGAGGUCGCUGCAAUUUGGGUUGAGGGCAACGACCUAGCAAAAAGGUUUGAUCGGAGGAUAACACUUUGUGGUAACAACAAUGAAAGGCACAGUAUACGUGUGACCUCCGGAGCAUAUGACCCAUUGUCUUAUCCCCUAUUCUAUCCAAGGGGGGAACUAGGUUGGCAUCCGAAGCUACCUAAACGUAAUGUUCCUUGGGAGGUUGAAUUAAAUCCUCAAUUGGGCCUUGAUGAUGACGCUGAUGCAAGUAUGUCGUAUGCAUCCCAUUUUGUUACAACUAAUAUCUAAUUUCUCAAAUAUAUCCUCAUUUUGAUGGUACUCGAUCACGUGCAGAGGGGAAUAGCAGGUUGUACGUCUCUAUCAGAGACUACUACUGUUACAUGCUAUAGGCACGGCCUGCCAUUUUCAAUCCCAUACUCUCUGGAGCACGCCUACUGCAGCAAUGGGCGGUCGACAUGUAUGUCAAGAUUGAGAGUUGUCGGUUGAGGUGGUUCAGGAAGAACCAGACGUAGAUUCGGGCUGACUUGUAUAAAGGUGUUGUUGAUGCGAUCACAUCAGGCGAGACGCGAGCAAGCGCUGUUGGGACAAGAAUAGUGCUCCCUGGAACAUACCCUGGUGGUGACCGCGACAUAAAAAAGAGACAUAUGGAUGCCAUGGCAAUUGUCCAUACAUACGGGAAGCCUGACAUCUUCUUGACCAUGACUUGCAAUCCUAACUGGGAAGAGAUAUCGAAUGAGUUGCUGCCUGGUCAGACGGCGCAAGACCGACCUGAUAUUGUGGCUCGUGUGUUCUACGGCAAACUAGAGGCUAUGAAAGACAUUUUGUUCAAGAAGCAUAUUCUGGGUGUUGUUGUUGCUUAUGUUUACGUAGUCGAGUUCCAAAAAAGGGGCCUUCCCCAUGCACAUUUUUUAUUGAUCAUGGACUCAGCAUAUAAGCUUAUCAUCCUGGAGCAGUAUGACCGACUCAUUUUCGCUGAGCUCCCAGACAAGCAUAAGUAUCCGGAAUUGUAUGCAAUGGUGGUAAAACAUAUGAUGCACGGACCAUGCGGUGCUCUGAACCCAAAAAAUGUAUGCAUGCAAGAGAACGGAUGCAAGUGCAGAUACCCACGGCCGUUCAAUGAAAACACAUCACAAGGGAAGGACUCCUACCCAAUUUAUCGAUGGAGAGACGAUGGUAGACGUGCUAAGGUCCGAGGAAAGAUGUUGGACAACAGAUGGGUUGUGCCUUAUAAUCCAUACCUUCUGCGGAUGUUCAAUUGCCACAUCAACGUUCAGGUCUGCUCUAGCAUAAAGGCUGUCAAAUAUCUUUACAAGUACAUUUACAAGGGCCAUGAUAAGGCUUCUUUCAGCAUUGACCAGCCCAAUUCCGAUGGUAACAUUGAUGAGAUCAAGAGGCAUGUUGACGCAAGGUGGAUUACCCCUCCGGAGGCUAUGUGGAGGAUAUUUGGCUUCGCACUUUGCGCCAAUCACCCGCCUGUAUUGCAGUUGCCUCUUCAUCUCCCGAAUAUGCACAGGGUUGCAUUCAAUGCGCAGGCUAACUUGAAGAAUGUUGUCGCCUCCGAAAAUGCUUCAAAAUCCAUGUUAACGGAGUAUUUCAAGGCUAACCAGGAACAUCCUUGGGCUAGGCAUAUAUUGUACAAGAAUUUUCCCGAAAGCUUCACGUGGCAGCUGAAAAGUAAGUCUUGGAGGCCUUGGGUCGAGCGUUUUCAAAUAGGUCGCAUAGUGUCUGCCAAUCCUGCUGAGGGGGAGCGAUACUACCUGCGUGUGUUGCUAAACCAUGUUGCAGGCAAAACAUCCUUUGACGACUUGCUCACCGUUGACGGUGUGCUAUGUGGGAGCUUUAGAGAGGCUGCUGAACGGUUGGGUCUCAUUGAGGCAGACAACACGCUCGACGACUGUCUUAAUGAGGCUGAGCAGUGGGCGAUGCCAUGUUCUCUUAGGAGGCUCUUCGCAACCAUCUUGGUGCACUGCGAGCCAGGCGACGUGCGUGGUUUAUGGUAUAGGCACCUCGAUUCUAUGUCAGAUGACUAUCAUUGAACACGCACUUCCCCUGACGAGGUGGAGCAGAUGGUGUUGCUUGACAUAGGGGUAUGUUGCAGUCCAUGGGUAAAGACAUUGUUGAUUUCGCUCUUCCAAGCAUAGAUGAUGCGUUUGACCCAACAGAGGGCGAGACAAGAGAGGUCAUCGAGGAAUCAACCAUUGAGUUUGACAUGGAUGACACUAAAUUGGCAUCUUCCCUGAACUUGGAGCAGAGGGCCGCAUUCGACGAGAUACUAGAGGCUGUUGAACGUGGUGAUGGUGGUGUAUUCUUUGUUGAUGGCCCUGGAGGUACAGGGAAGACCUUCCUAUACAGGGCGAUGCUUUCCAAGGUGAGGAGCGAGGGCAAGAUUGGUAUCACUACCACGACGUCAGGCGUCGCUGCUUCUAUCAUGCCUGGCGGCAGGACUGCCCACUCGAGGUUCAAGAUCCCAUUAAGCUACGAUGAUGGAGCCUCGUGCAGCUUCACCAAGAAGAGUGGAACCGCCAAGCUGCUAAGGAUGGCGUCAUUGAUAAUAUGGGACGAGGCCAGCAUGAUGAAGCGACAAGCGGUCGAGGCAUUGGACAAUAGCAUGCGUGACAUCAUGGGAAUACGCGGCCGACCCUUUGGAGGAAAGACUGUUGUUUUUGGCGGGGACUUUAGGCAGGUGCUUCCGGUCGUCAGAAGGGGGUCGCGGGGCCAGAUAAUUGAUGCAACCCUGCGAAGUUCUCAUCUAUGGAAGGGUAUGCGGCAGCUUCGGCUCAUCACCAACAUGAGGGCUCAUAAUGACACGUGGUUUGCAGAUUAUUUGCUAAGGGUCGGCAAUGGCACUGAGGAUGUCGACGAUCAAGGCAACAUACUACUCCCUGAAGACAUUUGUCUGCCGUCUUCAGGCGAGGUUGACGACCUGGAGAAGCUUAUUGACCACGUGUUCCCAAGUCUAGAUGACAACAUGUCUGAUUCAAAUUACAUGACAUCUCGAGCAAUUCUUUCCACUACAAACGACAAUGUCGACAAGAUAAACAUCCGCAUGAUAGAGCGUUUUCAUGAAGAUGAAGUAAUCUACCAUAGCUUUGACAGUGCGGAGGACGACCCGUAUGGCUACUACGCUCAGGAGUUUCUAAAUGGAUUGACUCCUAAUGGUCUUCCUCUGCAUGCACUCAAGCUAAAGCUGAACUGCCCUGUCAUACUUCUAAGGAACAUUGAUCCAGCUAAUGGACUGUGUAACGGCACUAGGCUUGUUGUAAGAGGUUUUGAAAGGAACACCAUUGAUGCAGAAAUCGUGAUUGGACAACACGCUGGUAGGAGGGUCUUCCUUCCUCGAAUACCUCUCUGCCCAUCUGAAAACGACAUGUUUCCGUUCAAGUUUAAGAGAAAGCAAUUUCCAAUAAGGCUUAGCUUUGCUAUGACCAUUAACAAGGCUCAAGGGCAGACCAUCCCGAUUGUUGGUGUCUAUCUACCCAAUCCCGUGUUCUCUCAUGGUCAGCUAUAUGUUGCUUUGUCUCGAGCCACCGUGAAGAGAAACAUAAAGAUACUCAUUCAGAAGGAGAAGCCGAAGGAGAAGGCCAAGAAGCUAAAGGACAAUCCAAAGAAGCGAAAAAGACCGACUGUGUCCUUACUGACCUCGAUGAAGAACAUCGUCUACAAGGAAGUCCUUACAGGCUGAAGUUUGGUCUUAAUAGACUGGCAGGUUUAGUAAUGACAAAGCAUUUACUCUUGCGAUGGUCAAAAUAAACUGUAAUUCGUUUUUUACAUAUAUAUUUCUUUUUUGAGACUUUGAAAUUCACAGUUAAAGAUAUUCUACAAGCGUACUUUUUCAUGCUUACUAUGUGAUUCAGAUAUAACCUGGAACAUGCAAUGAAUCUUUUGUAUUACGGCAAUUUAACAUAUCUGUUGUUAUUAUUUUGGUAUUUUGAUAGUAUGUUUGAAUGUAAUUUUAUGGACGACCUUAUUAUCCUCUGCAAUCAUCUGCUAGGUCAGAACUAUACAACACUGAUUGGUCUGAAUUAUAAGUCCAACACACACAGGAGGGAAAUUGUGUAUGUUGUGAAGAUAUAUUUUGCAUAUGUACUUCAAAUAGAUAAUAAAAUGAUAGCCUGCAUACUUGCGAAUAAGUUCAAAUGCCCGUGCGACUUUGGAAAAUGUGACAAGUCACAUGUCUCACACAUUAUGUCCACUACCGGUUAUUUUUGCAUGAAGCAGUCAACCCGGCAAACUCGUUAGGGGGUAAUGACGCUGCGUUUGUCCUUCUCAGUUGUCUCACACGCGAUUCUGGAGCCGACAUAUCACAAAGUAGUAAUGGUGUUACCGGUUUCGUAUUUAGUUGUACAGUGUUUAGGGAGGUUUUCUUGCAGAUGUUCAUGACCCAUAUUGUAUUUGUGUUGUUCCAGUGUCUGAUCGCUGAAGUGUACAAUAUUUGGGAAAAAAUUAGAAUAGUUGGUACUUUUACUUAUCCAAACUAAUUACUUAACAGUUCAGUUCAGGUUACAUAUAAUUUUUUUGCAUUGGUUCAUUUACCCUCAUGAAUUUACUGCGCAUCUGAAAUAGUUCAGACCUAACAAAUAGUUCAGACCCCGUGUUCAUGGCGCCUCCGCACAACCGAUCUGCACCCACAAAGCUGUUGCAUGUAGCAAGGCUGCAGGUAAUCACUUUGGUGAGUGUAAUAAAGUAAGAUGGCUGCUCACUUGCUUCUUUUGCCGUGUACUCGCUUAUUUUUUUAUAACUGUGUGAUCUAAGGGUCGGAUCGUGGUUCUUCUAACUGAUUAAGGUAGCUGCUUGUUUGCUUUUUUAUGCUCGCUCAGUUGCCUUUUUUCUAUCUAAGGAUGCAAGUUUUGUGUGUACCAAGUUGUGAAUUAAGAGGACUGAGUUCUAUCUAAGGAGAACCCGAUAGUCCUAUUUAAAGUCAUUUGUUAUUACCUUGAUCCUAUCAUAUGAUGUUUGGUAUUUUAUGGUCAUGGAAUGAGAGAUUGCAUUCCUUGUACAGGAGAUCUUUCCAGCGUUGGAUUGGACUAUUGCUGACUUUUAAUUUUAUUUUUAGGCAAAUGUCCACCUGUAAUGUUAGAGCAAUUAUUUUGGUGCUAAACUAAUCCCAAAUAAGUGUCACCAAUGUGUGAAAAUAAAAUGUGUGAUUAUGAUCUUUUAAUUAUAUUCUGAAUAUGAUUAUUAUGAAAUUUCUAAGUUGUUGACAUUCUAGCCUAUCACAUGUUGAUUGGAAGACUUCUCUUUUUGAUGGACUCUGGAUCUAAAGAAGCAUAUAAGCAUGUAGAGAGGAACAUGUUGUCCACUUUGCUGUACAAAUGUACUACACGAUUUUACACAUGUGUUUGAUUAGAUGAUAUUUGAUGAUUUGAGCAUUGUACUGGUGGGAUUUCCACAACACUACGUAUGAUCUAAACAUUGACUGAAAAUAUUUAUCAGAGUAUUCGUUUCAAACAAUUAAUUUUGCAAAAU
RNAcentral lists this long non-coding RNA (8522 nucleotides) under Triticum aestivum (bread wheat). RNAcentral describes it as "long non-coding RNA (TAES_LNC002341)". The record is from RNAcentral. Lineage: Eukaryota; Viridiplantae; Streptophyta; Magnoliopsida; Poales; Poaceae.